GCCCCCGUAGCUCAGCCCGGAUAGAGCAUUGGGGUCCUAACCCAAGGGUCGCAGGUUCAAAUCCUGUCGGGGGCG
Molecule: transfer RNA, 75 nt
Filed under: Candidatus Pacearchaeota archaeon
Lineage: Archaea; Nanobdellati
Description: tRNA-Arg
Rfam family: tRNA
About the family: Transfer RNA (tRNA) molecules are approximately 80 nucleotides in length. Their secondary structure includes four short double-helical elements and three loops (D, anti-codon, and T loops).
Source: RNAcentral